RNAcentral lists this ribosomal RNA (496 nucleotides) under uncultured bacterium. Its description in RNAcentral is "partial 16S ribosomal RNA". It matches the Rfam family "Bacterial small subunit ribosomal RNA", at positions 29 to 507 of the family's 1533-position model. The record is from RNAcentral.
AUGAACGCUGGCGGCGUGCCUAAUACAUGCAAGUCGAGCGGACGGACGAGAAGCUUGCUUCUCUGAUGUUAGCGGCGGACGGGUGAGUAACACGUGGAUAACCUACCUAUAAGACUGGGAUAACUUCGGGAAACCGGAGCUAAUACCGGAUAAUAUUUUGAACCGCAUGGUUCAAAAGUGAAAGACGGUCUUGCUGUCACUUAUAGAUGGAUCCGCGCUGCAUUAGCUAGUUGGUAAGGUAACGGCUUACCAAGGCAACGAUGCAUAGCCGACCUGAGAGGGUGAUCGGCCACACUGGAACUGAGACACGGUCUAGACUCCUACGGGAGGCAGCAGUAGGGAAUCUUCCGCAAUGGGCGAAAGCCUGACGGAGCAACGCCGCGUGAGUGAUGAAGGUCUUCGGAUCGUAAAACUCUGUUAUUAGGGAAGAACAUAUGUGUAAGUAACUGUGCACAUCUUGACGGUACCUAAUCAGAAAGCCACGGCUAACUACGUG